Molecule: ribosomal RNA, 511 nt
Filed under: uncultured bacterium
Lineage: Bacteria
Description: bacterial SSU rRNA
Rfam family: Bacterial small subunit ribosomal RNA
Source: RNAcentral
CAACGCGAAGAACCUUACCAGGUCUUGACAUCCUCUGACACUCCUAGAGAUAGGACGUUCCCCUUCGGGGGACAGAGUGACAGGUGGUGCAUGGUUGUCGUCAGCUCGUGUCGUGAGAUGUUGGGUUAAGUCCCGCAACGAGCGCAACCCUUGAUCUUAGUUGCCAACAUUCAGUUGGGCACUCUAAGGUGACUGCCGGUGACAAACCGGAGGAAGGUGGGGAUGACGUCAAAUCAUCAUGCCCCUUAUGACCUGGGCUACACACGUGCUACAAUGGAUGGCACAAAGGGCUGCAAGACCGCGAGGUUUAGCCAAUCCCAUAAAACCAUUCUCAGUUCGGAUUGCAGGCUGCAACUCGCCUGCAUGAAGCCGGAAUCGCUAGUAAUCGCGGAUCAGCAUGCCGCGGUGAAUACGUUCCCGGGCCUUGUACACACCGCCCGUCACACCACGAGAGUUUGUAACACCCGAAGUCGGUGGGGUAACCGCAAGGAGCCAGCCGCCUAAGGUGGGA